RNAcentral lists this long non-coding RNA (303 nucleotides) under Actinidia chinensis (golden kiwifruit). RNAcentral describes it as "long non-coding RNA (ACHI_LNC000181)". The record is from RNAcentral. Lineage: Eukaryota; Viridiplantae; Streptophyta; Magnoliopsida; Ericales; Actinidiaceae.
GUUGAGGAUUUGAUUUUGAUGAAACUAAGUUUGGUGGGGAUAUAUUUUGUUGGUAGUGUAGAGAAAGAACUUGAAUGGAAGUAUUUUCUGAGUUUACUUGAGACUUGUUCAUCUUUACUGCUGUAGUCCCUUUCUUUCAAGAAUCUAUUAGUUAGUGAAUGUUACUGUUAAAAGGAGUUUUACUUGUAUCCCAUUUACUCAUAGCUAGACCAUGUCCUGUUAAUUCUCCUUCUCUCUCUCUCUCUCUCUCUCUCUCAAAUACAUGCCGGGAUUUUUGAAAUAUAUUGGUUGUUUUCAUACAUG